RNAcentral lists this long non-coding RNA (1447 nucleotides) under Drosophila guanche. The record is from RNAcentral. Lineage: Eukaryota; Metazoa; Arthropoda; Insecta; Diptera; Drosophilidae.
AGUGAGACAAUUUAAAAUAACAAUAUGGUCAAGAUCUAUAGUAUGUGUCAUAAUUCUAAUUAUAAUUAUCUUAAUUGGCUAUUUUCAGAGGAGACGGACAACAACAAAGCAUCGGCCGGCAUAGCAGACAAACAUAUGUUUGUGCACAAUGCGCAUCUGAGCAUUGUGUGCAUGCCGGCCAACUCUGCCGUCCCCCCCCCUGGACGUCAUAAUUGGAAAGGAAUCACCCGCAAAUUUUAAUGGGAGGUAAGUGAAUGUGAUAUUUUGCGGAUGAUUCUACUAAUUUAAUUUACUUGGGGCGGGCAAAUUUGCGCGCCCUGUUUUUCAGCGCCGUCGUCGUGGUGGAUGUCGUUGCUGCUGCCGCUGCUGCUGACUUCUGGCCGCUGGUGUUGGAUUCCGGUGGAGAUAGUCCAGUGGCGCUGGUCCGGCCACCGGAGGAUGGAGAGAGACACUCGCCACACACAUAUGCACUCUCAGCGGCUCGGGUCCGGCCGCCUAGGAUGGUGCAUGAAAUUGGAGUGUGAUUGUGUGCGAGUGUCGGGAUUGGCGUGCCUCUGGACAAGCUGUCCAAAGUUGUCGCACUCGACCAUAAUUAGGCGGCUCUGGUCCGGCCGCCUGCAGGUGAGUGAUUGUUGUAGUUGUUUUGUGCUUGUUUUUUAUUUUAUUUAUUUAUUUUAAUUGUUUUCCUCUUUUAUUUCCAGGUAUUUCUGCAGAGGCACAUCGUCGAUUAAUGGCUGGCCACGCCAUCAACAAAUACACUCUCUAUGGACCAGAGGAGUGUAUGGAAUUGAAGAGAAUGAUGGCGUGACGAAUCGUGGAGGGCGUGGCAUGUUCGCGCUCCUUGUCCAGUGCACGACAAACCUCAAGCGGCUGCUGGUCCGGCCGCCUGCAGGUAAGUACGUGUUUUUUUUUGUAGUUUGGUGAUUUUUGCAUCUUCUUUUUAUUUAUGUUUAUUUGUUCCAGGUUUCCUUGCAGGACUGCGUCAUUGGUGUUGAUUUGGAUGUUUUUUCUGCUGCUGCUGCUGCUGCUGGUUGGUGAGUAUGUGUUUUUGUUGUUUUAUUUGUAUAUUUUUUUUUGUAUUUAAUUGAUUUUUCUUUUUAUUUCAGGUUUCUCAGCUGAAGAAAUGGCCGCCUAUAUUCGCAUCCAGCGGACUUUCCUUGGACCAGGAGGAAGCGACUGGGCUUGGAGAGGAUGUAGGCGUGGAAAUUGCUGAGGGCGUGGCAUUUUUGGGCGCCCCCGUGUCAAAACAUCAGACCACGGUCAAGCGACUGCUGGUCCGGCCGCCUGUAGGUGAGAAUAUGUAUUUGUUGACAUUUGUUUUUGUAUUUGCUUUUAUUUAUUCAUUUUUUAUUUCAGAUUUCUGUGCAGGGCAGCGUCUUCGAUGUUGAAUUGGGUGCUGUUGCUGAUGCUGCUGCUGCUGGUUGGUAAGUAUGUGUUUUUGUUGUUU